Molecule: long non-coding RNA, 226 nt
Filed under: Linum usitatissimum (flax)
Lineage: Eukaryota; Viridiplantae; Streptophyta; Magnoliopsida; Malpighiales; Linaceae
Description: long non-coding RNA (LUSI_LNC001372)
Source: RNAcentral
AAAAUUCAGAAAAUUUAAGGUUGUGAUACUUUUUUUAUUUUAAUUAUUAAGAUAUUUUAGAUUCGUUAGAUUUUAUUUGAUUGUUUAGAUUAAUUGUUUAUUGAUGAUCUUGAUUUGAUUAAGAAAGAGACUAUUAUUCUUUUUUUAUUUUAAUUUCGAUUCAGGCGAAUCGUGCAUAAUGCAUAAUAAAAGUGAACCAUACCAUAUUGCAUAGUGCAUUGUGACU